UAAUAACUGAAAUAAUUAAUAAUAUAUAUAAAUAAAGCAGCACUUCCUCAGCAUCACCCAUCCUCUCUCUCCUGGAGUGGGGAGGUGAAGGAAAAGGAACCAAAUCCUCCCCAAAAAUGACCCAAAUUCCCGUUAUCCCAAAAAAAAUGGGAUCAUUUCCCUCCUCCUCACCCUCCCCUCCCUUCCAGGCCCUUCUACAAAGCUCCGCCAGCCGCAAGACCCAGAAAAAGAAGAAAAAGAAGGCUUCCAAAAACGCGGAAAACGCCACCACGGGGGAGACGGCGGAGGAGAACGAGGCCGGCGACUGAGAAAUCGCUUUGGAGUUCUCAAAUCGCUCCUUUUUUCCCCAAAAAAACAAACAAACAAACAAAAAAAAUCCCCACAAAAAAACAAAAUUCCAUCCGGAAACGAAAUAAUCUGGCGUUGGUCCGGACAUAAAUUCCAGUCUGGAAUUCCCACAGAAUCCCAACAGCUCCCGUUGAUUUUGCCAAGGAGGGAGGAAUCUCUCGGUCACUUCAGAUUUUUAAAAGCGAAAAAAUAAUAAUAAUAAUAAUAAUAAUAAUAAAAAACAUCCCCAAAAGAGCA
RNAcentral lists this long non-coding RNA (585 nucleotides) under Cyanistes caeruleus (blue tit). RNAcentral describes it as "lncRNA (ENSCCEG00000008556.1)". Lineage: Eukaryota; Metazoa; Chordata; Aves; Passeriformes; Paridae. The record is from RNAcentral.